UUUAUAUAUAACAAUAAAUUCACAGAAGGGCGAAUAAUUUUGACUUCAACUGAUAAUCAUUUUGAAUAAUCGUGAUUACAAUUAUGACCAAAAUAAUCGUGAUUAUGAUUUUUUCCCAUAAUAGAGCAGCCAUAACUGUAAUAUAACCGGGCUAGAAUCAUUUGUUUUCUCACUACAAUCGAUCCGCUCCAGAGUUUGUGUCAAUCAAGCUGAGACCACCUCGUUUAAGCGAUCUCUGAGCGAUUGUUUUGGUGCGGAUGCGAGCGUGAUUGGUGGUUUCACAUAUGCCAAACGAACCACGCUAACUGGGCAAACAAGACAGGUUCUGAAACAAAAGUGUAGGUGUGAAAGCACGCUAAGACUCUGAUUUUAAUUUAUAAAGCAGUCCAUAGGCUAGCUCCUGAUUGCAUCAGUGAUCUUGUGACACUUUCCACUCCUGCUCGCAGUCUACUUUGGGUCUUACCCUGUUCCAGCCACGCUUCAGACUUAGCAUCAUGGGUGGUCAGGCUUUUUUCAUAUUGUUUCGUAUCUCAGCAAAAUUAUGGAAUGCAUUACCCAUUAACAUUUGGAAUAUUGUGUCUCUGGACUGUUUAAAGAAGCUUCCUAAGACUAACCUCUUUAGUCGUGUUUUAAUGUGUGAACUGAUGUUAUCGUACUUAUUGUUAUAUUUACCUAUUUAUUGCUUUUACUGUUUUAUUGUUUUUGCCUUGUACACGCUUUGAGUUUGAGAAAAGUGCAUUAAAUUAAAAUAAAAUGUAUUAUAAUUAAAUAUAGUUUAGUCUAAUCUUUCUUUACAUUUUUGUUACUUUCAAACACACAAUUUAAUUACUAAUAACAGUAUUUACUAGUAACAGCAAUACAGAUUAAGUGGUAAUAUUAGAAAUGACCAAUCACCUUUUAGAUGACAAAACGCAGAAGGGAUAAGGCUCACCAUAGCACAAAGAUAAAAAAAAAAAAAAAAAAAAUCUCUGGCUGACUGAUGGACACUGUACUUUGAGUCAACUUAACUUACAGUCACAGUUUUGCAACUGACAUACCUUGAUAAAGCAAGGUGUGAGAUAAUCAAACCUGAAUUCAGGGUAAAUAUGAAGGGCAUUAAAGCUUAGAAUCUGGAUUACCUCUUUAUUGUAACACUGCCUGUUAGAGUCCACCCAGUUGGUCCAGUGGUGGUAUAAUAUCUGGCGGGUGAAGGUUUCUGGCAUUUUUGUCUUUUAGUAAUUUGACUUGAUGACAAUUAUUAUUAUACUUUAUUUAAUUAUGAACAAGGUUUUGAGUUGAAAUGUGAAGUCAUUAAAGUAUCUGAGGUAUUGUAAAUGGUAUUUUAAAUCAUACAUUAACCCAACAAUUAUUUUUACUUUUUUUUUCUCCAGUGACCACCCGAGAACAAGUAACCCAUAGGUACAAACUAGUACUUAAAACAUAUAAAAAGAAUCUAAGCAUUCGGGAUUGCUUAAAAAGGCACAAGGUGGAUAAAUCUACCUUAUCCCUGACAAGUAUAAUUGCACAGAUUAUUGAGUGAUUCAUCAGUGCAAUCAUUCUUGGUGGCAAUUGCUUCAGAGGGAGAAUUAUAUCAAGUUCCAGCAUAUUUAAAUGGAACAACACUCCAGUGCUAUUCAAAAGAAUUACAACAGUUCCUUGUGAAGAAGGAACACAAGCUGUUGCCUAUAAAAAACAAGUUCAGGCGUUGAUCUUUGUUUCUUUGUAUCUUUCUUUCUUCCUUUCAAUUGAGUAAAUAAUUGAGCAGCUUUUUUUUUCCAUCUGUUCAAGUGUAUAUAAUAAUUGUGUGAUAGAAGUUUGUAAGAAAGUUUGUUUAUGAGUUUGUUAAUAAAUGUUAAUAAUAAAUAAUUGUUAUUGAAGUUG
This is a non-coding RNA of Danio rerio (zebrafish), 1860 nucleotides long. The record is from RefSeq and is a predicted model, not a curated record. NCBI's taxonomy places the organism in Eukaryota, Metazoa, Chordata, Actinopteri, Cypriniformes, Danionidae.